Salvia splendens (bonfire salvia) is the source of this 3631-nucleotide long non-coding RNA. RefSeq lists it as uncharacterized. The transcript is spliced from 2 exons. The record is from RefSeq and is a predicted model, not a curated record. Lineage: Eukaryota; Viridiplantae; Streptophyta; Magnoliopsida; Lamiales; Lamiaceae.
ACUUAUUAAAUUUGCAUUUUGCCUCUUAAGAAGAUAGUCGUAGGUCACAGUUUUUUUGCAAUGUUCUUAAAAUUAAUGCCUACUUUAAAAGUCGUGACAUCUCUGCAAAUUCCAGAAAUUGUAGAUGAUUCAAUUAUCUUGGCUGUUGUAUGAACAUGUUCUGUUUCAUGUAUAUCAGUACCUCACUACCUUGCCUCCUAAAGCUUCCGACUUUUCAAAAUAGCCCUACCUGCUUAGCAAUCUGCCCUAAAAUAAGACGAGAGAGUAUCCAGUAAACUGGUUUGUUUAUUGUCCUAUUUACUUGAAGAGCAUGUGAGGCAAGACUUGACAUGAUAGUAAACCUGUUUCAGGAAUCAAGAUAGUGAAUCAGAGAUAAAACUAGAUAAUUUUUUAAGUCUGAUGUUUGUUUAAUGAGAUAGUAAUCCAAAUAAAAGCUAACAUGGUGUUUGGUAUCCAAGUUUAUAUUGCAGAUUAAAUGUAAAGUGCAAUUUGCCCUUAAUGAAAGGGUGGAAAAGGGUUCAUCAUUUUGAUGAUACUUGAGAUCUUAAUAUGUGAUUAAUUUGCCUAUCUUAAUUAACAAAUGAUAAUGUGUAAUUCAUCAACAUAUUAUGCUUAAUUAGAUAUCUUGUUAAUUAAUUUGGCUAACUGAAUGAUGAUUACUUAAAUAAGAUCCAUUAAUUCUCGUUCAAUUAGUAAAAGAACAAAAGUAACGUCUUCAUCCAUGACAAAUUAUUCAUACCCAAGAUUGGGUAGUCCUCGACGACGGUAGAGAGAAAGUAGGGAUGAUGGAACCGGUGAGAUCGAAACUCAACGAUCUAAACCCAGUCGAACAAUCAAAGCCUGCCAAAAGUGAAACAAGAUCCGAAGCUUCUUGAAAUGACACCGGUUGAAACGGAGAUGAAGAAGAAGACGAAAAUUGAAACGGGGAUGAAGAAGAUGAAAAUCAAGCAAGAACGAAGCUUGCUAUAAACUAAAUCUGUUGAGUACAAACCCAUCCCACAUCGGCCAGAUAGUGCAAAGAAGAUGUGAUAAAUUUGGUAGAAAUCUUGGCUCAGAUCUUUGAAUUUGAGCGUGAACAAUCGAAGCCACCGAGAACAACCUGCCAAUCAAAACUGACACCAAGGUGAAGAACAUAGAAAAUUUCUAAGAAAAUGGGUUCAAAUCUUGAACCAUUGGGCAACGAACAAGAACCGAAGCCUAUGUCAUCACAAAACCAAUCAACACGACGAAGAGGAAGAAUCAAGAAUUUGGAAAACAUUUAGCUCAAAUCGUCACCACAACAACCAUCAGUGUUGUUAGAGGCGUGGGGCUCAAGGGGUGAUUAUGUCAAAAGUCGGGACUCGCGCCCCAGGUCUCGAGGCGCAUUAACAUGUUAGAGUUCUUUUCUUGUCAUAUACAAAAGGAGUUUGAGUAGACAAAGAAGGAAGAAUUAAUUGAGAAGAGAAGAAUUGACUAAGGAAUAAUUAAUUUCCUGGGAAGAGAAGAGCUUAAAUGUUAUGGCGUGUUUGGUUAUACAUUAAUGGCUAGAAAUUGCCUCAAAUCGGGCCAUUAUUGGCUGUUCGGUGUGUGUGCUUCAUUUAUGGAGGGCCCUUGAACAUGACAGUGGCCCGCACUAUUCCUGAAUAAAUGCUAAGAACUGAAUUUUGCCCAAAGAGGUAAUUUAGCAUUUCUGCAUUGAAAGAUGCAUCUAGCAUUGGAGGCAAAAUCUCCUUUAUGUCCUCUCAUCUCUCUCCACUGACAAGUGACAACCGAUGAACUAGAGCUUGUGAAAAGUGGCUUCAAUGGCAGGUGCAGACCACAAAUCCCUUGUCCAAGCACUAGCAACAUUUAUGGAAUGGUAGAGAUAGUGUGAGAGAGAGAGGUAGAGAGAGCGAGAAGGCGCACGUGUAGUUUGUGAAAUUGUUUAUGAUGGUCCAACACCAUUACUCCAUCUCAGCAAGCUAAUACAAACACACGAAUCACCUCACUUCUCAUUUCUCUGAUUCUUAUUUUUCGUUAUCACACAUUUCAUACAAAAUUUGCUAAAGUAUAGUCUUAUCACUUUCUGCGGCCUUUUUGAGCGCCAACAAUGAUAGUGGUGGCGGUCGCAGUCGCAGUUGCUAUUGCAGCAGCCACUCUGUCGACGGUGCGUGGUGGCGCCGGAAUUGAAGGAGUGCAUCUGAUGAAACAAUCAUGGAGGCUGAACAACUAGUAUUAGCACCAAAUCAGUUGACCACACUGCCAUCAUUUCUGUCAAGUUUUAUUUCUUUUCAAUCCCACCGUCGAAGGCGAACACGCCCUUAUUAUUUUGGAGAAAUGAAAAAGUUAUUACUCCCUUCGUUCACCAUUAAGAGUUCUAUUUCUUUUUGGCAUGGGUUUUCUGAAAUGUACAAAAAAGUGGGUGGAAGAAAGAUAUUGUAAUAUAGUUUUAAAUGAAACGUGAGCGGAAUGUUUGGCCUAUUACAGUUUAUAGUAAAAAUGAAUCAGAGGACUCCUAUCUGCAUACGUAUCGAAAUGGAAAAUCGAGUCUUCUAAUCACAAACGGAGGGAAAAAUUUUAGGAUAUUUUGGUGGGUUAAAGGUAUUCAGAUCAAGUUAAAGGAAAAGAUUUUAACAUCAAAUAUAAUCUUGUUAUUUUAGGAAACGAAGAUUGAAUAAGAUUUGAAGGCUUGAGGGUUUACUGAAUUAAAAGAUUUAGGUUCCCUAAUUGCCUCAAGCUCGCCCUGUGAAUAUGGCUUGCCUAGCCAGAUCGGAGCGAUUAAGUUGGAGCCACGUGCUCCCCAUGCGCGCAUGGGCACACUUUUAACAACACUGCCACAAAUCAUGCAUGGAAUCUUGCUGGUUAUGUAGGAAUGGUGCUCAAGGAUCUAGAGAUACCGCUAUGACGACAAACAAACAUUUGCUACCAUUUAAACCACUUGAAACCCAUUCCCAGAUAUAGCAGAGGUCGUGAUAGGUUGCCAGAUAACUUCUUUGUCACAAAUUACACGACAACAUAAUAGGAAGGAGAGGUCGUGAGGGAGAGGAGGUAUAUUUUAGCAAAAUCCAUUAUUGUUAGGGUUGCGGGGCACAUCGGGGCUAUUAGCCAAAAACCCGGACUAUGGGCACAAGUGGAUGGAUGCAGUCCAAAAAAUUACCCCAAAAAUCGGGGUGCAGUCCAAAAAUCUAUCGAUUUUUAACAUAUAAAUAAAUUAAUGAGUAAAAUAAAUGUCAUUUAUUGUUAUUUAAGACACCCCGCGGGAAUUUGAAGUAGAUGUCAUUUAAUGCCAUUGAAGUAGAUGUCGCUGUUACCCCACCAAAAACCCUAGUCGACCACCGGUGCCCCAGCUUGCCCUGGUUGCCCCCGCCUAUCCUACCUCUUGGACCGCAUCCCUGGAUUUUGAUUGGCCCAACCACCUUUUAGUAUGUCGGUCCUAGAUCUGUGCCCGCCUGGGCAGUGUUGUCAAAAUGGCGCUCAGGUCGCCCGGGUCGAGACCGUCACCGCCCCAACAUGGGUGGGUUGAUCGAGGUACGGGGUCGCCGCCGGGUCGUCUGGGUCGAGAUACAGAUUUUAAUUCUAAUUCGGCCUCUACAAGCAGCUUGUACCACUUUAUCUACCUAUAGGCUAUAUGUAUUGAAACUUUAUUUGAUAUAUUGUAAACAUUAGAGUAAUA